Molecule: ribosomal RNA, 501 nt
Filed under: uncultured bacterium
Lineage: Bacteria
Description: partial 16S ribosomal RNA
Rfam family: Bacterial small subunit ribosomal RNA
Source: RNAcentral
AUUGAACGCUGGCGGCAUGCCUUACACAUGCAAGUCGAACGGCAGCACGGGUGCUUGCACCUGGUGGCGAGUGGCGAACGGGUGAGUAAUGCAUCGGAACGUACCUUAUCGUGGGGGAUAACGCAGCGAAAGCUGUGCUAAUACCGCAUACGCCCUGAGGGGGAAAGCGGGGGAUCGAAAGACCUCGCGCGAUUAGAGCGGCCGAUGCCUGAUUAGCUUGUUGGUGGGGUAAAAGCCCACCAAGGCGACGAUCAGUAGCUGGUCUGAGAGGACGAUCAGCCACACUGGGACUGAGACACGGCCCAGACUCCUACGGGAGGCAGCAGUGGGGAAUUUUGGACAAUGGGGGCAACCCUGAUCCAGCAAUGCCGCGCGAGUGAAGAAGGCCUUCGGGUUGUAAAGCUCUUUUGUCAGGGAAGAAACACCGGCUCUAACACAGUCCGGGAAUGACGGUACCUGAAGAAUAAGCACCGGCUAACUACGUGCCAGCAGCCGCGGUAA